This 253-nucleotide ribosomal RNA is filed under the name uncultured bacterium. RNAcentral describes it as "partial 16S ribosomal RNA". It matches the Rfam family "Bacterial small subunit ribosomal RNA", at positions 524 to 776 of the family's 1533-position model. The record is from RNAcentral.
UACGAAGGGGGCUAGCGUUGUUCGGAAUCACUGGGCGUAAAGCGCACGCAGGCGGAUUGAUAAGUCGGGGGUGAAAUCCCGGGGCUCAACCUCGGAAUUGCCUUCGAUACUGUCUGUCUUGAGUCCGGGAGAGGUGAGUGGAAUUCCUAAUGUAGAGGUGAAAUUCGUAGAUAUUAGGAAGAGCACCAGUGGCGAAGGCGGCUCACUGGCCCGGUACUGACGCUCAUGUGCGAAAGCGUGGGGAGCAAACAGG